Molecule: long non-coding RNA, 1122 nt
Organism: Dioscorea cayenensis subsp. rotundata (Guinea yam)
Lineage: Eukaryota; Viridiplantae; Streptophyta; Magnoliopsida; Dioscoreales; Dioscoreaceae
Exons: 3
Source: RefSeq, a predicted model, not a curated record
UCCUCACUCUUAGCACUCACUCUCACCCUAGGAAGAUCAAUUCACUCACUUAGCUUUCUUGUUUUUUCAUGGUUACAUUAGCAAUGGAGAGCAUGUAUUUAUAGGGUGGUAGAAUGCUCUAGAUUUAUAAAUUAUUUUAAAUGUGUGAGGCGGUGAAACUUUGUGUGAAGCUUCUUUGAUGAUUCAAGAAUGUUCUAGGUGCUGCUCCUUAUCAUUUGGUGUAGGUUUUAAGGGUGGAUUAAUUGAGGGUAGGAUUCGAGUAGGGUUUCUGCGAUCGUGAGGAUGGAGCCCGGGCGCCGGAUGGGUGGCAACCGGGCCAAGUCGAAGGAGGAGUUGGUUCGGGGGAUCUGGUACUGACCAAAGUGAAGGGAUUCCUGGUGUGGCGUGCUAAGAUAAGCAGGCCAGAGGAUUUCAACAUGGAGCCUGAAUCCCAGAAAUUCUUUGUUCAGUUCUUUGCAACAUGUGAAAUUGGUUUGGUUGCCUUGGCUGAUAUUUAAGUAUUACUAGUUAAUCAAAGACAAUUAAAUAUUUUGCUCGUGCUGUGGAGGAGAUAUGUGAUGCUUUUGAGAAAGAGCGCAAGAGCAGUUCAGUUGAACUCAGAGAGGUCAAUGAUGGGCAUGCCCCUGUAUCAUCCUCAGCAAUUGAUAAUGGAAAUAGUGAGAAUCUUGAAUAUCUUGAAACAUUUCAUUUAAAUGCCUAGGUGACAAGUGAAAGCGAUAGUCCCGCCAGGAAGAAGGAAGAAUCACGGAGCAAUGUGGGGAUCUCAAAAAUUGAGCAUGUUCCUCUGUUAUUGAUGUCUGAAAUAUCUUGCCAGAAGGAGAAAAAUUCAAUUAGCCCUUGCUCUUGUGUUAAUGAAGUCAAAGUGGCUCAGCUGAAAAGUCCUGCUGUGAUAGGACGUAAAUCUCUUGGUACUUGCGAAGGAGAGCACACAGAUCAAGUUAAUAAUCAGACUUUCGUUGUACUACAAUUUGAUUCUAGAGAGGCAUGUGACUGAUAGGAUCAAGUACAUAUAAAUAUAUGUAUUCAAUAGAAACACUCAGACACUCAACUAACUUAACUCACCAAUUGUAUUAGAAGAAGAACUGAUGAAAAUAGAAACUGGAAAACUCUCUAUUUCAUUCA